Molecule: long non-coding RNA, 504 nt
Organism: Impatiens glandulifera
Lineage: Eukaryota; Viridiplantae; Streptophyta; Magnoliopsida; Ericales; Balsaminaceae
Exons: 3
Source: RefSeq, a predicted model, not a curated record
UGAAUUUCAUUCUUAUAUUAUAUAUAUAGGUUAUAUGGAUAUAUAUACCUUAUCUCUUCCUUCUAUAGCUUCUUCACCACAACUAUUAUGGAAGAGCUUCAACAAGACAAAGAAGAUACUCAAAACUCGAGACCCGAGUUUUCCCAAGACGAAGAAUUGCUUGUAGCCAGGAUGUUUCGUUUGGUUGGGAAAAGGUGGAGGUUAAUUGCUGGGAGAAUUCCGGGACGAACAUCUGAAGAGAUUGAGGAGUAUUGGACAGCAAAAUAUGGUUCAUCCACAGCCAAAAUUGAAUAAUAUUUUAAGUUCUUCUUAAUGUUAUAUUAAUGAAUAAUAUUCCAUAUGUUGUUAAUGAUUUAUUAAUACUGUUGAGACUAUUUAGCAUUGUUUUCUCAUUAAGAGUGUGUUAAACUAUUAUUUAAAAUUAAAAUAGUUGUGUGAUUUACUUUUUAAUUUUAUUAGAUUUAUUUUGUUAAUUGAUUGCUUGAAGUUUUUGAGCUUGUUUGA